CCUACGGUGUGCAGCAGUGAGGAAUAUUGGUCAAUGGACGAGAGUCUGAACCAGCCAAGUAGCGUGAAUGAUGACUGCCCUCUGGGUUGUAAACUUUUUUUAUAUGGGAAUAAAACAGGGUAUGCAUACACUCUUGUAUGUCACAUAUGAAUAAGGAUCGGCUAACUCCGUGCCAGCAGCCGCGGUAAUACGCAGGAUCCGAGCGUUAUCCGGCUUUAUUGGGUUUAAAGGGCGCGUAGGUGGAUUGUUAAGUCAGUUGUGAAAGUUUUCGGCUCAACCGUAAAAUUGCAGUUGAAACUGGCAGUGUUGAGUACAGUAGAGGUGGGCGGAAUUCGUGGUGUAGCGGUGAAAUGCGUAGAUAUCACGAAGAACUCCGAUGGCGAAGGCAGCUCACUGGACUGCAACUGACACUGAUGCUCGAAAGUGUGGGUAUCAAACAGGAUUAGAUACCCGUGUAGUC
RNAcentral lists this ribosomal RNA (460 nucleotides) under uncultured bacterium. Its description in RNAcentral is "partial 16S ribosomal RNA". It matches the Rfam family "Bacterial small subunit ribosomal RNA", at positions 338 to 795 of the family's 1533-position model. The record is from RNAcentral.